This 2664-nucleotide small RNA is filed under the name Oryza sativa Japonica Group (Japanese rice). Its description in RNAcentral is "sRNA Os01g0764150". Lineage: Eukaryota; Viridiplantae; Streptophyta; Magnoliopsida; Poales; Poaceae. The record is from RNAcentral.
GGUGCUACUGGAUUGUUAUUAGCGGAUCGAAUGCGAAUUCGGGCCUAAAGUUGGGCGUGUACGGGCCAUGGCCCAUGGCUUGCAGCCUUAUUGUAGGAUGUAGAAGGGCUGAAUCUCUCCACUAAACAUCUAAAGCUUAAAUACAAGCAUAAUAUUUACUUACUAGCACUACUAGUAUCUCCAUGUAAGCAUACCACAUCAACCCAUCGAACAUAUAAAGCUCAACAUUUAAACAUAUAGUAAUUAUGCCUAUAAAUUAUUUUAUUCUAAAACUAAACAAACACAUGCUAAAUCAUCAUUAUCAAAUCAUUGUUAUAAUAUUUCAAUCUAAAUCAUGUUAUCAUUUCUCCAAUAUGUAACAUAUAUCCGUAGCAAAAGCACGGGACAUCAUCUAGUUAUUAUUUGCAUGUGUGUGAGGGUUUGAAUUGCUCCUAUAAAAAAAGUGUUGAAUUGUAGUGGCUAAUGUUUGAGAAGUACAAGUAUGCAGGAAUACUAGCCAAUAGCCAGUUAGUCGCGUGACUUUGGACGCCUACAAAAAAGUGGGAGGGAGGGAGAGGGAGAGGUGAGGAAAAAGAUGAGAUGAUGAAAAUGUUGUUGACAUGUGGGUUAUAUCUGCUAACUGAAUAAGUCAGUCGUGAUCAUACUGUUACAUCAACAAAAAUCAUUUUCUAAAACAUUGCAGGAGUAGAUUUACACCGGUUUUUGAACAUGAUGGAGCCGUUAUACUCGAUUUUAUGGUUAAGAGAGUGAUUCAAUCAAGAGAAAGAAAGAGAUGAGAGUUAUAAAACACACUUAUUCCAAAAUACAAUGUUUUGUCGAUUUGAAGCUUAGAUGGGUUUGUACAGGCCAUAUGCCCCUGCCCUUCUUUUUGUGUGUGUGUGUGAGAGAGAGAGAGUAAGUGUUAAUUAUUGAUGGGCGAUGGGCUGAUGUUUUUAUGUAUAUGUAUUCAGGAACAUUGCUGAAGAGAGAAAUUGAUACUGUAAUAAUAUAUACUGCUCCCUCCGUCUUAAAAUAUAAGCUUUUUUUUACUUUGACACAGUCUUCGAAAUGUUAUUUUGACAAACAAUGUCUAUAAAAAUAAGAUGUUUUAAAUAAAAAAGAGUUACAUAUAAUGGCAGUUUGUUUAAUGAUAAAUCUACUAACAUCAAUUUUAUAUAAUUGAUUUUUUAUUUUUUUUGUUAAUAGUUAAAUUUAAAAAGGUUUGACUUGGCACUAUGCUAAAAAUAUUUAUAUUUUGGGACGGAGGGAGUAUUUCGCAGAAGUGCAGUGCUGGGCGUUGAUCGUUGACUUUAGACUAUUUUGUGGAGUCAACCGCAACGAAGCUCAUGCCUUACAUUACAUCACAUCGGUAGAAAUAUCGUUAUUCAAAUUACUUGGUGCUGUGUAGUGUACCAAGAGUCUCAUCGGUUAUCCAUAUUCUCUAAUAAGCUAAAAUGACUUAUUAGUAAAUAUAAAAAUUAACAUGUAAAACUUUUAUAUAUUUGUUCGUAGCGACUUAAAAGCCAAUGUUAAAAAGAAAUUACUUUAAAAAUAUUUUAAUUUUAAGUUAAAAAAUUUAAAUUUUGAUUUAUACUUUUACUUAUUAGGCCAACCGAUGAGGCUUGAAGAGUCAAGGAGCAUCUAAGGAAGAGCUCCUAGCAGAAGUAACUUCUCUUAUACGAAUACGAGUAACAAACUGAGCGGUCACCGUUAAAAGAGCAUCCCAGGGAAGCUUUUCUCUUCAUUAAUUUAUUUUCUUUCAACUUAUUUUUUUUCUAACUUGAAAAUAAAUUCCUUCCUCUUGUGUUAUGUGAUCAUGAUUCAUUUCGGUAACACAAAAUUUACUAUAGAACAUCCAAAAAUAGUGUAAUUCACUAUAAGACACCACAAAUACGUGACACUGUCGAUGGUCACUAUAAAAGUUGUCUAAUUGGAUAAGGCGAUAAGCACUUUCUAACUCUGGACUAUCAGUCUACCUCUUUAAAAUUUUAAUAGCAGCACAUCACACUAACCCUAUUUUACACAAUUAAUAUUAUUUGAACUUCUAAAAACUUUUACAAAUUAUAAUAUGUUAUUUGUUCUAAUAUCAGUUAGGCACAUAUUUGUGCUGAUAAUGUUGCAUGUGUUGGACUUAAUGAACAUUAUUUACUCCACGAUGAAACUUUGUAUAUGAAAGGAGAUAAAACAUGGUAUUUGUUUCUAUUAGAAGUAUUGAUGGUUUUUAUGUUCCGAGAAAUAUUGUUUCCAUAUUUGUAUCCAAUCAUAUUCAAUUCUAAUUAUUUAUAUUCAAGAUAACUUGUAUUUAAUUUCGUAUCCGAGUUAUUCGUAUUUAUUUUUAUAUCUAGCUAUAUGAAAAUGAAUAUGAUAUUAUCACUAUCCGUCUGUAUCCGCUGCAGUCUUAGGACAUCCACAAUAUUAUAUGCAAAAUAGUCUUAAGGAAUAAAGCAAUAUUUUUUUCUACCUUUAUGCAUUGGGACAGGAGAAAACAAAGAAUAUUGCUAUGGCCAAACCUAAAAUUAACUCUACAUCAUAAGAAAUAAAAAAUUAGUUCAUGUUUUUUGCAACAUGCAUGGUGCUUUUUCAUUCAUGUUGAGUAGAAUUUUUUUAGGUCCUAGCUUAAGAUCAAGAAAAGAUUAUAUGUAAUAUACAUAUAGUAUGUGUUAUAUACAAAAGAAUAUAAGAAAG